AACCUUGGAAUCUGACUCUAACAAUGGGUUUUCAUAUUCAUGUGUGAGAUGUGCCUCUUUCAAACCUUGUUACAACUUUGGCACAUUACCCAUCUGAUG
This is a small nucleolar RNA of Callithrix jacchus (white-tufted-ear marmoset), 99 nucleotides long. The record is from Ensembl. Lineage: Eukaryota; Metazoa; Chordata; Mammalia; Primates; Cebidae.